This 123-nucleotide small nucleolar RNA is filed under the name Erinaceus europaeus (western European hedgehog). RNAcentral describes it as "Small nucleolar RNA SNORA3/SNORA45 family (ENSEEUG00000022578.1)". The record is from RNAcentral. Lineage: Eukaryota; Metazoa; Chordata; Mammalia; Eulipotyphla; Erinaceidae.
GGCGAGGCUAGUCUCGCCGGGUAUGGCAUUGCCCCAGCGUGCUGGAGCCCUCGGAGAGCAAGCGCUGGCCUUAUUCACUGGCUUUGGCCCCAUGCAGAACCCACCACCAGGGCAGGCAGGGAC